Chenopodium quinoa (quinoa) is the source of this 1300-nucleotide long non-coding RNA. RefSeq lists it as uncharacterized. Lineage: Eukaryota; Viridiplantae; Streptophyta; Magnoliopsida; Caryophyllales; Amaranthaceae. The record is from RefSeq and is a predicted model, not a curated record. The transcript has 3 exons.
UACUAAUACAACGACCUGAAAGGCUAUUGCCACGGCAGUGAUAUUAAAUACUCCGUUAUUAUAUUUUUCUCAUCUCUCUCGUAAUCUCGUUCACUCUCCUCACUUCCUCACACCUCACCACCUCAGUUCUCUCUCCUCUCUCUUUCUCUCCUUCUCCCUCUUCUCUUCCUCAAAGACGAAGGCAACCAUCGCCGCAGCCACAACCACAUCCACUACCAUCGUCGCUCACAGAUUAAUUCUCUCUCUUUCUUCUCCCUCCUCAUUCACUGAUGGACACGGUGGUGAUGGUGGUCGCGAGUGAUAGCGACAGUGCGAUUCGAUUUUUAGGCUUUUGAUUGGUGUUUAGGCUAAGAGAGCUCUAAGAGCAUUGAAAGGAUUGGUAAGACUGCAAGCACUUGUUAGAGGGCAUGCUGUGAGAAAGCAAGCUGCUAUAACUCUUCGUUGUAUGCAAGCUUUAGUGAAAUUUCAAGCUCGGGUGCAAGCAAGGCAUGUGCGUUUGGCUUUAGAAAGUCAAACUGAACAGCAGAAAGCUCAUCAACAACUUCUACAGGAGGCACGUGUUCGAGAAAUAGAGGAAGGAUGGUGUGACAGUGUUGGCUCUGUAGAACAAAUACAGUACAAGUUGCUAAAGAGGCAGGAGGUUGCUGCUAAGCGGGAGAGAGCUAUGGCAAAAGCCUGACUAAACAUAUUACUGAUUUGUUUGUGUGUUUUGUUUAUUAGGGGAUCUAGAUCCAUUGGGUAUGUGUAAACAGCGCUAGAGGUGGAUAAUAUUGAAGUUGAAGAAGAUGCUUCAUGAAUUGCUUUACGAGAAAUUGGAGAAGCAGGAGAAAGAAAUGAUAAUGCGCUCCACAUAAUUGCCGAAAAUAUUGUUUGGCGGACAAAAUGGUUUAGUUUUAACUUUUAAUUGUUUUUUCCUUAGUUUAACUAGUGAUAAUUUAAUUUUGUAAUUUUCGUAAUAGAUAACAAUGUACAAACUUUGAAUUCAUAUUAAUAAAAUUCUAAUCUUUUUUUUUUUUUUUGGAAAAUUCUGAUUUUAAUAGUAUUAUUAUUAUUAUUGGUAUUAUUGGCAUUAGGUAUAUGUAUUGUGUGGAAUUAGGUAUUAGGAACCGUGGCAUUAGGGUAUAUGCAUUGUGUGGCAUUAGGUAUAGGGAACCGUGGCAUUAGGGUAUAUGCACCAUGGCAUUAGGUAUAGGAAAUCGUGGCAUUAGGUAUUAUACCUAAUGCCACAGCAUUAAUGUUGUUGUUGCAUCAGGUAUUGAUUUAAUCCACAGAUCAUUGAUGCCGUGGCAUUAGGUGUCAU